GGGACUAACAGCUUAACCUGUGUGUAUGAUAUAACAUUCAGAUAAGUAAUGGAUUGGGUGAGCUACUUGACAGCUACCAAGAUGAGUAGAAAAGCACUGAUCAUUGCAGUGUUAAGUUUAGUAUAUUGUAGUGCUACUAC
Ctenopharyngodon idella (grass carp) is the source of this 140-nucleotide long non-coding RNA. RefSeq lists it as uncharacterized. The record is from RefSeq and is a predicted model, not a curated record. NCBI's taxonomy places the organism in Eukaryota, Metazoa, Chordata, Actinopteri, Cypriniformes, Xenocyprididae. The transcript has 3 exons.